UUAGGAAUCUUCCCCAAUGGGCGCAAGCCUGAGGGAGCGACACUGCGUGAAGGACGAAGGUUUUCGGAUCGUAAACUUCUGAACGAGGGACGAAUAAUGACGGUACCUCGCUAAAAGCACCGGCUAACUCCGUGCCAGCAGCCGCGGUAAUACGGAGGGUGCAAGCGUUGUCCGGAAUCACUGGGUGUAAAGGGUGUGCAGGCGGACUGUCAAGUCAGUGGUGAAAGCCCGCAGCUCAACUGCGGAAGUGCCAUUGAAACUGGCAGUCUUGAGUCCCGGAGGGGUCAUCGGAAUUCGUGGUGUAGCGGUGAAAUGCGUAGAUAUCACGAGGAACACCAGAAGCGUAAGCGGAUGACCGGACGGUGACUGACGCUCAGGCACGAAAGCGUGGGGAGCAAACAGGAUUAGAUACCCGUGUAGUCC
This 423-nucleotide ribosomal RNA is filed under the name uncultured prokaryote. Its description in RNAcentral is "bacterial SSU rRNA". It matches the Rfam family "Bacterial small subunit ribosomal RNA", at positions 355 to 796 of the family's 1533-position model. The record is from RNAcentral.